This 434-nucleotide ribosomal RNA is filed under the name uncultured bacterium. Its description in RNAcentral is "partial 16S ribosomal RNA". It matches the Rfam family "Bacterial small subunit ribosomal RNA", at positions 29 to 507 of the family's 1533-position model. The record is from RNAcentral.
AGCGAACGCUGGCGGCAGGCCUAACACAUGCAAGUCGAACGAACCUUUCGGGGUUAGUGGCGGACGGGUGAGUAACACGUGGGAACGUGCCUUUAGGUUCGGAAUAACUCAGGGAAACUUGUGCUAAUACCUAAUGUGCCCUUCGGGGGAAAGAUUUAUCGCCUUUAGAGCGGCCCGCGUCUGAUUAGCUAGUUGGUUGAGGUAAUGGCUCACCAAGGCGACGAUCAGUAGCUGGUCUGAGAGGAUGAUCAGCCACAUUGGGACUGAGACACGGCCCAAACUCCUACGGGAGGCAGCAGUGGGGAAUCUUGCGCAAUGGGCGAAAGCCUGACGCAGCCAUGCCGCGUGAAUGAUGAAGGUCUUAGGAUUGUAAAAUUCUUUCACCGGGGACGAUAAUGACGGUACCCGGAGAAGAAGCCCCGGCUAACUUCGUG